This 4687-nucleotide long non-coding RNA is filed under the name Sus scrofa (pig). RNAcentral describes it as "lncRNA (ENSSSCG00015034378.1)". Lineage: Eukaryota; Metazoa; Chordata; Mammalia; Artiodactyla; Suidae. The record is from RNAcentral.
CAUUCACUAUUUCAAACCAAUUUUACAACACAUAAACACAGCAGCAGAUAGUUUUACUUUGAAGUAUCUUUUCUGUCAUAUCACCUUCUGAAUUUCUUUUGAUAAUGAGUACAUGUAGAAACAAAUGUCACAGUGAAAAAUAAUGUAUUUUAUACCUGGUUUGUGUUAAUAGUGUAAAUUUAUCAAUGAAUUUUGAGAAUAAAACUAGAGAACACAAACAAAAAAAUAUUCCUUUUCCCAAACAGACACGGUAAAUCACACAAACAUAAUUUGUUCUGUUAUAUAUUGUAAAGGUUAUGUUUAUACUACGAGCCGUGAAUGAGAUUAAUGAGUUUUCUCAGCACAGUAAACCUUCUCCACGGAAACAGAAGCUAAAUUGCAAUAAAUCAUGGGUUUAUGUUCACAUAUUUAUGGGAUGGGGAAGAUUUAGAGUUCCUCUGUAGAGAAAGCUAUCCCAAAGUAAAAGAAAAAAUUAUGGCUUCCAUAACAUAAAGGUAGAUAAACUGGAGCAAGCUCAAAGUUGUGCGUUCAAUACACUUUAAUAAUGUCAGUAAUUUAUUAAAAGUAAUUAUCACGGCAGAGUUGCAUGGUUGUACUUCACCAGAAGUGACAAAAUGCUAGUUCAAUAUGUUAGUUACCGUCACAUGAUUAUGUAUCAAGACCAAUUAAAUUACAACUGUCAUUUUUCCACGUUUACCUUAAAAUUAAAUACUAUUUUUCCUUCCAAAGAUGUGUCAACAGUAUUAUAGAUGAUAUAGUGCAAUCCAACCAGUAUAAAAUAUCUCAUAUCAUUUAUGCCAAUAAUUCAACCUUAUAUCACUGCCUAAGGAUAAAGUUUUUCUCUUUUUCUUGUUUUAGAAAAUAAGCCUACUAAUCAUACUUGGCUAUCUGGUGAGAAUGUACUCUGUAGAAUUUAUAUAUAUAUUUGGGGGGGUUGAUCACAAACUUUGUGCACAAACAUCUGGAAGAUAAUCUAGUAUCAUUUUUAAGUGAAUAUUAUCCUAGGCUCUUCAAUUUGUGGAAAAUUUAACUGAAGCCAAUCACUGGAAUACAAUUAUAUCAAUACUAACCCCAGAUGCGAAGAUCAUAGUGCAUUUUACUUUGUUCACAUCUUUAAAUGAAAGAUUCACUACUGGAAACAGUAGAGUGAACUUUCUACUCGAUAUCAUGAAAAGAAAAAACACUAGAAUCUGAUAUAUUUGCUUCUGAGAAUAUUAUUCAAUCUGUUCAACACACUGUGAUGCUAAGAGGAAAUCAGACUGCUUUUUAAAAAUCAAGAUCAUUUCAAGUGAAAGAUUGACAAGUAAAAAAAAUCUUAUGAUUAAAAAAUCAUAAAUUCUUAUGAUUUCAAUCUCAACUAACAGUGAUACAGUAAUAACGCUGAGCAAAGUAUUGUAAGGCCUGGAGUUCCCAUCGUGGCUCAGCAGAAACGAAUCUGACUAGUAAUGAUAAGACGCAAAUUCGAUCCUUGGCCUCACUCAGUGGGUUAAGGAUCUGGUAUUGCUGUGGCUGUGGCAUAGGCCGGCAGCUACAGCUCUGAUUUGACCAUAUGCCCUAAAAAGACAAAAAGUAAAAUAAAAUAAAAAAUAGUCUUGUAAGGCCUGGAAUAUCAUGUUUUAGAUGUUUCUAAAUGGACUGCUUUUCUCAACUAUCAUUAGAAAGAGAUCAGAGAAACUAGAGGUAAAUUUAGAACUUCUAUGUUCACAAGUAAGGAAAAAGUCUUUGUAAGAUCACACAGCCUCCAUUAAUGGUUCAUGGACUAGAGACUGUUUGAUGGAGGCAUCAGAAGGUAUUCAGAUUGGAGGGCAAGGGCAAUGUAACUGUUCUAACGCAGAUUUUCUUAGGUCUUUGGAGAAAUUUGUGUCCAUUAAUGGAGGAGCAAUCACCUUAAUAUUCCUAAAAUAUUUGAAUCCAUCCAGUUUAACUAUUUCCAAAUAGCAUAUUUAAUAGCACUACUCAAGAAAAGACCAGCAGCAUUAAAAUGAACAAUGCACAAUCGUAUCUCUAAAGCAGUGCACGACCAUAAUAUGAGAGAGUUUGGUAUUUUCUGAAAUGAAAAUUUAACCUUUUUUAAAUACUGUACAAUCUUGAAAAAAAAGUUUUUUGCUCUAUAUUGAUUUCUAGGAUUCAAUAAAUAGAAAACUGACAAAAAGUAAACUGUUUCUGAUUUGGCAUCCUUACAGAAACCUUAUUAUUAAAUAUCCCAGUCUAUAUGUAAACUGUUAUAUCUCACAUAUUCACAUAUAUAUUCCUAUAUUUUCACACUUCUGGAGAUGUCAGAUGACUUCGUUAAUAAUAAUUGUUAAUAAUUCGUUAACAAUAUUUGUUAAAUAAUCUGAUAUAAGCACAUCAUUUUUGUAUUAAUUACAGAAACCAAGAAAAUGAUUUACCUUAUUCCUAUCCCAAUUGCUUCAUUUCUUCCUAAAGGAAAUCAUAAAUAAGUUAAUUGUAUUCUUUAGUAGUGCAUUCACACUUGUUCAAAAUUUUCACAUUGGCUUGAUAUGAACCAUGAUAUUAUAGUAAAAUUUAAAACACCACACUCUUAAAAAUAAGUCAAUACAGAUAUUUAUUUGUGCCUUAUAAAGCCAUACUAUAUAAGAUGAAGUCAGAGGUAAGAAUAUUUUGGCUUUUGUGCUUUCUUAAAACGUACUCAUCUAUAGUCAGCUUUAUUUAGAAAUAUUUUACAUUUUCUUAUUUCCAAGAGAACUAUUGUGUUAUGUUAAAGUACAUGAAUCUAUCUCAAUUUUAAUGAAUAAAAUUUUAUAAAAAGAAUAAAGUUGCAACAGCAAAAGGACAUCAACACUCCUUCCCAUUUACACAUGACAGAGUCAUGCUCUACUAGGAAUUAGCUCCAGAAUCAAAAGCUAAAGAUGUUUAAAAUGUUAUUAAUGGUGAGUCAGAGGCAAUUAAAGGAAUGUUUCAUAGGUACAAGGUCCAUUCAAAUGUGCACAGGUUCCAAAGUUAGUAACGUUGUAGCAAGCUUGGAAUAAAAUAAACAGGCAGAUAAACUCAACUGACACCGAUAUGAUGGCAGAAGCAUUUAUUUUCAAAUGAUUCAAUUCUUCCUAGAACAAAAGAUUUAGGCAUAGAUAACUUCACUGAUGAAAUCUAUCAAAAUAGAAAUAAGAACACAUUUACCUAAAUUUACCAAAAUCCUUUUAAAUAUAGAGGAAGUGAGAAUAUGUCUCAACUCCUUUUACCAUACUAGCAUAACCUUAAUACCAAAACAUGGAAAACAUUAUUCAAAAAAUUACAAAUAUCCAUCAUUAGUAUAGGUGAGAAAAAUAUUUGAAAAUAUAAGUCAAUAAAAUUCAUCAGUACAUGAUAAAAUCUAACAGGCAUGUUAUGUAUAUACAAGGAAUGUAAAAUGGCUAACUCAUGAAAAUCAAUCAAUCAAUCAUUACAUUAACAGAAAAAGAUGAACACAAUUUUAUGAUCACCUCAGUAGAUAUAACAGAAUUUGUGGGAUACAAAGUCAAUAUACAAGAAUCAAUAUAAUUUCUAUAAUUUAGAGCAAAACAGAAAAUAUACCUUACAAUGAAUUUACAAUUGUUAAAAACAUAAAUAUCUUAGGUAAAAUUAGGCUGUAGAUGGACAAAUUCUUUACAUUAAAACUUACAAAGUACUGCUAAGAUGAAUUUAAAAAAACCUAAAAAUGGAGAGCUAUAUUCACAGACAAGAAGGCUCGCCAUGUUUAAAUUGUCACUUUCACCAACUGGAUGUAUAAUGUCACUUCAUUCCCAAUCCUACCACCAAUAAGUUUUAGAGUUUUGUUUUGUUUGAUUAAUAGCAAGUAACAAGUAUAUCAUAAUUUAUUUUUCUUUUGGAAGCCAAACCUGUAUCAUAUGGAAGUUUCCAGGCUAGGGAUUGAAUCAGAGCUGCAGCUGAGGCCUCUGCCACAGACACAGCAAUGCUGGAUCCAAGCUACACCUGCAAACUUCACUGCACCUUGUGGCAGUACUAGAUCUUUAAGCCACUGUAUCAGGCCAAAGAUCACACCCACAUCCUCACGGGCACUAUGCCAGGUUCUUAACCCACAGAACCACAGUUGGAACUCCAAAUUAUAUAGAAAUAUUAAGAACCUAGUCUAUACAGACAAAUGUUGAUUAAAAACAAUUUGGUGAACCUAACUUCAAAUUUCAAUAUAGAGCUAAAGUAAAACCAAAAAAGGAUAACUAAAUAAUAAUUGGUGAAAACAGAACGCAGCUCAGAAAUUCUCAUGCAUUGGUUUUCUGCAAUACCACUCAAGCAAUUUAAUAACUAAGGGCAAAUGUUUCUUUAACAAAUAGUACUAGAAAAAGUGAAUUUAUAGGAGAAUGGGAAACUCUAGACUCAUCUCUUUCCACAUACAAAAUUAUUCAAUAACUUUGCAACUUUGGGUUAAGGAAAGUAUUCUUGGUCCAGACAUAGAAAAAAAUAAUAAAAUGAAACCAAUUAAACUUCAAUGAAACAAAAUCUUUCUGCUUGUUCAAAAAGAUACUUCUGGAGUUCCCAUACCGAUGCAGUGGAAACAAAUCUGACUAGCAACCAUUAGGUUGCAGGGUCUAUCCUGGCCUCGCUCAGUGGGUUAAGGAUCCGGCAUUGCUGUGAGAAGUGGUGUAGGUUGCAGACACGGCUCGCAUCCUGAGUUGCUGUGGCUCUGGUGAAGGCUGGCAGCUGUAGCUCCAAUUAGAUCCCUAGCCUGGGA